This 253-nucleotide ribosomal RNA is filed under the name uncultured bacterium. RNAcentral describes it as "partial 16S ribosomal RNA". It matches the Rfam family "Bacterial small subunit ribosomal RNA", at positions 524 to 776 of the family's 1533-position model. The record is from RNAcentral.
UACGUAGGGUGCAAGCGUUGUCCGGAAUUAUUGGGCGUAAAGAGCUCGUAGGCGGCCUGUUGCGUCCGCUGUGAAAGCCCGGGGCUUAACCCCGGGUCUGCAGUGGAUACGGGCAGGCUAGAGGUAGGUAGGGGAGAAUGGAAUUCCCGGUGUAGCGGUGAAAUGCGCAGAUAUCGGGAGGAACACCGGUGGCGAAGGCGGUUCUCUGGGCCUUACCUGACGCUGAGGAGCGAAAGCGUGGGGAGCGAACAGG